CAACGAAUUUGCUGUUCCAAAUGUUAGUGCUUUCAUGUCCUUGCUCCUUCAUUUUUCUUUGGCCAGGUACUUUGUAACUCCAAUGCAUUCUUCACCUUUCAACAAUCUAACUAUUCCCCUUACUACCACUUCCACUUGAGGGGCUUGGGGCUGGUAAGCGAGGAGGAAGAAUCCACCCUCCCAACAGGUUCUCACAGCGGAGAUACGCCUGGAAGGAGACUGAAACCCAAGGCCAUCCGUCGCCGUCGCCGCAAGAUCCCCAGGCCCGGCCAGGACUCUAAUAAGAAAGCACCCUAGCUUCGCCUCGGCUCAUUAUCUGCCAGGACUUCGAGAUCAGAUGACUCAAGGCAACACGGAGAAGGAGGAGGAACAGAAGAAAGAGGAGGAUGAAAAGGAGAGGAAGAGGAAGAGGAACUACCCAUCCUCUAAGCCGGCCAAGCCUCAUGGAGCCUUAGGGGACUUGGGGCCCAGGAGGCGUGGCCUUAGUGUGGAAGCGGAGGGCGGGGCCUCUUGGAGGCAGAGACUCCUGUUAGCUCCAGCUCGGUGGGGCGGGGCAGCCCGGCCUCCUCAGAGUGGGCAAUCGGGCUGUCCAAGUUUGCCGGCGGUGGGAAAGGGAACACCAUCCGUCAAAGGAGAAUACAAACUCUUAAGAGGGUCGCCAGCCCGCGAGCUCGCGGCUCUUUCCAUCCUCUCACACAGUCCACGUGACCAGAGCAGGUCGCCAGCCCCAGAGUGGGCAAUCGGGGCAGCUUCUGUUUUCGUUUUUACUUAUCUGCCGCUUGGAGGCGAGGAAGGGACAGGGGUCAACACCGGUGUCACCGCCUCCGCUCCCAGGCCGGCCCCCAGACCGCCGCAGGCAAGGACAGAGGGGUUAGUGGUAUGUGAGCUAGGUGGUCUACAGGGCUGUGCCUUCUAAAACACUACUGUCUCCCGAAAUCACACCAUAGAAGCAAUCCAGGGUAAAAUGCAAAUGUACUGGGGUCAUGUUAAGUAAGUGAAAUAUUUCUGGCCUCCAACUAUCUAAAGCUAUUCUUCUGAUUAAGGGGUUAAGUGCUUUUUCUUCUUCCUUCUAAGUAGAAAACUGGACCCUUAGAAACACAUACCAGAUGUGGGGGCCUGGCUAGUCUGAGAGCAACUGGACAUGGAACACCUCAGGGGAAGAAAAUAGAAGAUUCUCUUUCCCUCCCAGCCGUUAAUAUUUAGCUCCAGUCUUAACUCCUUGCAAAUGAUUCAUGUUUUGAGAGAAUUUAAUUUUUCCAGUUUUGUGAUGGUUUAACUGAAUUCCUCUACUUUUAGGUCAACUUAAGUCGUGAUUGUUUGUAUCAUUUAACCCAAAGCUAGACCACUUAAGAGUUAAAGGGCCAAAAGAAAGUCUUUUACAGAAAGGAAAAACUAUGAUAAAUGCUUAUGCAAAGCAUACUUCAGCUUCCAUAACUGCAAAAUAUGUUUGGUUUUACCACCCAAAUUCUGUGCUGGAUCCUGGGAAAAGCCGUAUAUAACACAGACACUCUACUAGAGAAGAUACCUGAAUGGAAAAACAGCUAUAACUCAGUGUUAUACAGUUAAUAAUAAAAGCAUGUACUAGGUACAAAAGUAGCAUCAUUGAAGGAGUGAUGAAUUCUAUGGUGCAUUUGGGGAUGAGGGCAUAAAAGGUUUCGCCUGAGAAUGAUGCCCAUCUGAGGGGUAUUUGAACCAUGAACAGGAGUAUUUUUUAAAAAGCUCAUGAGGUAGAUAUUAAUACCUGACUAUAAAAUACUGAUUGACAAUGCAGAGAAGUGAAAAUAUAAAGAGGUGCCAAAUACUCUAAAUUUUGAAUUGUCACCAAAGAAAUUAGUUAGAAAAUUGAGGGGAGUUCCUGUGGUGGCGCAGUGGUUAACGAAUCCGACUAGGAACCAUGAGGUUGCGGGUUUGAUCCCUGCCCUUGCUCAGUGGGUUAAAGAUCCGGCGUUGCCGUGAGCUGUGGUGUAGGUUGCAGACGCGACUCAGAUCCUGUGUUGCUGUGGCUCUGGCGUAGGCUGGUGGCUACGGCUCCAAUUAGACCCCUAGCCUGGGAAUCUCCAUAUGCCCGAGAGCGCCCCAAGAAAUGGCAAAAAGACAAAAAAAAAAAAAAAGAAAGAAAAAAAAAGAAAAAGAAAAUUGAGAAAGACUAGUGUUGUACUAGUGUGGACUCCUCCAGGUUAUGUAUUCAUAACCAACACUGUGUUCUAU
RNAcentral lists this long non-coding RNA (2208 nucleotides) under Sus scrofa (pig). RNAcentral describes it as "lncRNA (ENSSSCG00000059992.1)". Lineage: Eukaryota; Metazoa; Chordata; Mammalia; Artiodactyla; Suidae. The record is from RNAcentral.